Molecule: ribosomal RNA, 506 nt
Filed under: uncultured bacterium
Lineage: Bacteria
Description: partial 16S ribosomal RNA
Rfam family: Bacterial small subunit ribosomal RNA
Source: RNAcentral
AUUGAACGCUGGCGGCAGGCCUAACACAUGCAAGUCGGACGGUAGCACAGAGGAGCUUGCUCCUCGGGUGACGAGUGGCGGACGGGUGAGUAAUGUCUGGGGAUCUGCCCGAUAGAGGGGGAUAACCACUGGAAACGGUGGCUAAUACCGCAUAACGUCGCAAGACCAAAGAGGGGGACCUUCGGGCCUCUCACUAUCGGAUGAACCCAGAUGGGAUUAGCUAGUAGGCGGGGUAAUGGCCCACCUAGGCGACGAUCCCUAGCUGGUCUGAGAGGAUGACCAGCCACACUGGAACUGAGACACGGUCCAGACUCCUACGGGAGGCAGCAGUGGGGAAUAUUGCACAAUGGGCGCAAGCCUGAUGCAGCCAUGCCGCGUGUAUGAAGAAGGCCUUCGGGUUGUAAAGUACUUUCAGCGGGGAGGAAGGCGGUGCGGUUAAUAACCGCGCCGAUUGACGUUACCCGCAGAAGAAGCACCGGCUAACUCCGUGCCAGCCGCCGCGGUAA